RNAcentral lists this long non-coding RNA (3035 nucleotides) under Marmota monax (woodchuck). Lineage: Eukaryota; Metazoa; Chordata; Mammalia; Rodentia; Sciuridae. The record is from RNAcentral.
UGGCAGUGUUUUUCUCAGUGUGAGCUGUGGACACCUCUCAGUCACCAGGCUUCCUGGACCCUGCAAAACUCGGUGAAUGUGAAUCUCUGAGGGUAGAGAUGAGGCGCUUUCAGUUUAAACAGGCCUCCCUCCACUGCGAUGAAGUCGGUGGGGGCUAUGCUCACAGCAUUCCCUUUGGCAGGUUCUGAAAAAUAACUGCACUUAGUCAGUGUUCAGAUCUCAAAGGUAAGUCAGGUGUCUGGUUGGUCAGCAGUUACACCAGAAGGUUAAAAAAAUUCCUUGAGAUGCUGAAUUUACAGGUAUGGGGUGGAACUUGGGGAUCAGUCGAAGUUUUAAAAGUUUCUUACAUAUAAUUUUGGCUAGCUAUGUUUGGGGACCAGUGCACACUUUGGUGACAGAACAGUUUUGGUGAAUAUCACCUACAGACAUUUUUUUCAAUGACUUAUUUAUUUAGGUACUAAGGAUUGAACCCAGGGGCACUUAACCUUGGAGCCACAUCCCUAGCCCCACCCUCACCUUUUAAAAUUUUUUUUGUUGUAGAUGGACACAACACUUUUAUUUUGUUUAUUUACUUUUAUGUGGUCCUGAGGAUCGAACCCAGUGUGUCACACAUGUUAGGUGAGCACUCUACUGCUGAGCUACAUGUAACUCCAGUCCCCCCAACCCUUUUUAAAUAUUUUAUCUAGAGACAGUGUCUUGCUAAGUUGCUGAGGCUGGCUUUGAACUCGACAUCUUUCUGCUUCAGCUUCCUGUGCUGCCACUGUGCCCUGCUUUAAAAAGGAAAAUAAUGCUUGGACCUAUUUUAGUCAUUUUCUGGACAUAGGGUCUGGUUAUCACAUUUUUAUAAAAAUUAUUUUGGGGACAUUAUUCUUUAAAGGUUUAUCUUUUCUUUUCCCAGUGUUGGGAUUGAAUCCAGGGCCUAUCUCAUGCUAGUUAAGCACUCUUUCACUGAGCUGCUCUUUAUUUGAGGAAUAAGGUUUUCCACACUUGUCCCAAACAAGCAUUUGGUUCUUGAUUCCUUAAUCAGAAAGUGGGUUCAUAGUCAUAUAAAUUCUUAUUUUUUAAUUGGUGAUACUAGGGAUUGACCCCAGGGCCUUGCACAUAAUAGACAAGUGUUCUACCACUGAGAGCUAUAUCCCUGGUCCUUUAUAUUUUGAGAUAGGAUCUUUCUAUGUUCCCUGGGCUGGGAUCCACCUGCCUCAGCCUCCUGAGUAUCUAGGGUUACAGGUGUGUGUACUGCUGCACCUGGCACUCAUAUAAUCUUAUUGGCUAAAUAGCACUGAAGAUACUUGGGGUAGACUCCAAAGUAAUUAAAUUACUUAAGCAGCCAUUUGAGAGAGGGCAGGCAUUUGAACUGUAAAGAUCAGCUAAGGUUUUCAACUCAAAGCUAAAAUGUAGAAGAGGGCUAUAUUUCCCCACUAAUUUCAAGACACCUGUACUGGACAAAUUUUACUGGAAAUGGAUUUUCUUUGUACUCAGAAACAUUUUAAUUUGUCCACAGAGUGUAUAGAGGAUUAAAUUCCAAAUAGUACAAGUUAGUGCUAGAAAUGAAUGAAAUUGAAACUAUCUGGCAAACUAAAUUGGAUUUUUUGGGAAAGGAAAUUUCUUGCUAACUUAAAAACAGUUUAUUGGGCUGGGGAUGUGGCUCAAGCGGUAGCACGCUCGCCUGGCAUGCGUGCGGCCCGGGUUCGAUCCUCAGCACCACGUACAAUGAUGUUGUGUCCACCGAGAACUAAAAAAUAAAUAUUAAAACAAACAAACAAAAAAGUGUUUAUUCCUUUCUAAGAUGCCACCCCCACCCCAUUAUUUGUGAGACCUUUGGGCAGGAUAGUGUUAAUAUGGCUAUCAUUUGUAUCAGUGCAUAUCUAGUUUCAGAUGGUUUGAAUUUUAAGACUGAAUGAUUAAACAAGUAGCUGCUGCAUUCGUGGAUUAGUUUGAUAGUAAUGGAUUAACAUUUGACUGCAUAAAGUCUUAGUUUCUGUGUCUUGAUUUAUGGCUUAUUUGUAAAUUGAGGCAAUCACAAGAAAACGUCUUCUCAGAGGCAGGAACUGGAGAGGGUGUGCCUUUGUGGGUUUCUAAAUACUCAGUGUUUGAGCUGUGAGCCUUGAACUGAAAAUUCUAACUCUCUGAUCAUGGGUUUUGUAGCAGAGCCUCAUGAGAGUGGGAAAGCUUGUCCCAGUACCAGGCUAGUUCUUGCUUCUUUUAUCCAGCUAAUUUUAACUCUGGCCUUUUUUGUUGUUUUUCCCAUGAGCUAACCCAUGAGCAUUUUGCGUGGUUGAGAUUAGCUCCACCUAGUGGUGAAUUUGUUAAAACUUUGGUGGUUGGAUCCAUGGCACCCUCUACCUAAACCAUUUUCUUAUGGAGUCUUGAUUUAUGGCAUAAAAUAAUAGAGGUUGGUACAGUACCUCGGUGAACUGGAGAGACUAUUGAAUUAUUCAAGAGAGACUGUUAGUAGUCAGCCUGGGAAUUCAUAGGUAAUCCAACUCUAAAAUUCAAGGUAGUGUCUACCCUAGGGAAAUAAUUGCCCAAAGCCUUGACUCUGCCUUUACUGUGUAAUUUUGGAAAAGUCUCUGAAUGUCCCUAAGCUUCAUCAGUAAAUCAGGAAUAAUGGCAAUAUCUACAUCUCAAGGCUGAAAGGGUGAAAUGAGAUCAUAUCUGUGAAAGUUUUUUUGUGAACACAGAGGUGCUAUGCAAAUAUUAGCAGAUACCAGAUUUGCAUUGUGGUAGGAGGAGUUUAGGUCAUGGGUAAAGUAUGAACUGAUGGCAUUUGGAUGUGCACAUGGGAGUGUGUAAGGGAUUUUGUGUUUUCUCUGAUUUGCUAUAGGAGUGCAGAUUUAGCGUUUUUGAGAGGUAGACUGUCUCAGCUCAAGGCAGUUUACCUUCUCUUUAAGAAGACAGAGAUGGGGCUGGGGUUGUGGCUCAGCAGUAGAGCGCUUGCUUAGCAUGUGCGAGGCCCUGGAUUCGAUCCUCAGCACCACAUAAAAAUAAAUAAAAUAAAGGUAUUGUGUCCAACUACAACUAAUAUAUAUAUAUAU